GAGUUUGAUCGUGGCUCAGGAUGAACGCUAGCGGCAGGCUUAACACAUGCAAGUCGAGCGGUAACAGGCGUAGCAAUACGUGCUGACGAGCGGCGAACGGGUGAGUAAUGCUUCGGAAUCUUCCUCGUAGUGGGGAAUAACCUGGGGAAACUCAGGCUAAUACCGCAUACGAACUACGGUUGAAAGCAGAGGAUCGCAAGACCUUGCGCUAUGAGAUGAGCCGAAGUCGGAUUAGCUAGUUGGUGAGGUAACGGCUCACCAAGGCGACGAUCCGUAGCUGGUCUGAGAGGACGACCAGCCACACUGGGACUGAGACACGGCCCAGACUCCUACGGGAGGCAGCAGUGGGGAAUAUUGGACAAUGGGGGCAACCCUGAUCCAGCGACGCCGCGUGUGUGAAGAAGGCCUGCGGGUUGUAAAGCACUUUUAGUGGGGAUGAAAAGCCGAAGGCUAAUACCUUUCGGUCUUGACCUAACCCAAGAAAAGCACCGGCUAACUCUGUGCCAGCCGCCGCCGU
Molecule: ribosomal RNA, 517 nt
Filed under: uncultured Gammaproteobacteria bacterium
Lineage: Bacteria; Pseudomonadati; Pseudomonadota; Gammaproteobacteria
Description: bacterial SSU rRNA
Rfam family: Bacterial small subunit ribosomal RNA
Source: RNAcentral